Molecule: unclassified non-coding RNA, 221 nt
Filed under: Aneides flavipunctatus (black salamander)
Lineage: Eukaryota; Metazoa; Chordata; Amphibia; Caudata; Plethodontidae
Description: partial contains 12 ribosomal RNA and tRNA-Val
Source: RNAcentral
GCAAAAUCAUUUUAAAUAAAAAAGUCAGGUCAAGGUGUAGCAAAUGAGGCGGAAAGAAAUGGGCUACAUUUUCUAUUAUAGAAUAUACAAAAUGUUUUAUGAAAUAUAACAUGAAGGAGGAUUUAGAAGUAAAAGGAAAAAAGAGUGUUCUUUUUAAAUCGGCAAUAGAGCGCGCACACACCGCCCGUCACCCUCCUUACAUACCAGAAAAUUAAAUAAAU